UUGGGUUGGCCAAAAAGUUCGUUCGGGUUUUUCCGUAACAUCUUACCAAAACACCCAAAAGAACUUUGUGGCCAAUCCAAU
This 81-nucleotide microRNA precursor is filed under the name Tursiops truncatus (common bottlenose dolphin). Its description in RNAcentral is "miRNA (ENSTTRG00000025213.1)". The record is from RNAcentral. Lineage: Eukaryota; Metazoa; Chordata; Mammalia; Artiodactyla; Delphinidae.